UGUGGUCAAAACCAUUCCUUGACCCUGCAGAACGAACUUUUUUAUUUUUUCCAGGCAGGAGUAAAAGUAAAGAAGUCGUUGCGGUGGAGGAGAAUCCGGAACGGACUGCUGGAGACUGAGCCACUUCCUAGAGCUUUCAUUCAGACAAACAGGGGCUCGGCACAAGUGGUUGAAAAUGCAAGACUGUGGAUCAGAUGACCAUGAAAUGCGGGAGUCUACCCCAUCAAUUCUAUCAAUGACAAGUGCAGAUCCGCAGGCGUGCUGCAGGGGGCGCUGCACUGGGGGGACCAUCGCAUUCUGAUCGGGGGGGGGGGGUUCAUUCAUUUUAUUUUUUAGGUGCUUAUUUGUAUAUUUUUUUAAUUUUUUUUAGCUAUGAGUUUCAUAUCUUUUUUCUGAUUCUCUCUCCUCUCUCUUUUCCCCUCUCCUCUUUAUUUUUCUCUCUGCUUCCUUUCUUUCUCUUUCCCCUCCUCUUUCUCUCCUCUUUCUCUCCCCUCCUCUCUUUUUCUCUGUCUCUCCCUUUCUCCUCUCUCUCGCUUUCUCUCUGCCUCUUUCUCUCCCUCGCCUCUCUCUCUGUCUCUGUCUGUGUCUCGCUCUCUCUCUCUCUCUCUCUCUCUGGUUUCUAGUGCUGAGAGAGAGGAGGUGUUUUCUUUUUAGCUUCUAUUUGCCUUAAAAAUGUUUUUAAAAUGUUUCGUUGUUUUGUUGUUUGAUUCUCCAGCCAUAUUCCUAACUGUCUGACCCGCUGGCUUCCAGCUGCGUGUCUGCAGUCAGUAUUGCAACAAGACUGUUUUCUGAAUCCUUGAUUUUAAUUUUUUUACCGAAUGAAAUUAAACUGGUAAAAUGUAUUUAAAACCAAUAAUGUAAUAUAACUUGAGGAAAAUAUUUUGUAGCCCUGAAUCCUCUCGUCCUGUUUUCUGUAAGUACGUUUCUAUGGCAUCACUGGAAUGUGUAUUUCAUGAGUAAUCGUGACGGGUUCUGUUCGGACUCGGGGAGGGGGGGAGGACAGAAUAUAUAUAUAUAUAUGUAUGGAUUGUGUAAAUACAGAGAUCGCUGACCCUGCUUGUGCAACACAUUUGUAUUUGCAGGUACAGGAAUAAAAUAGUUUAUCAGGAA
Acipenser ruthenus (sterlet) is the source of this 1110-nucleotide long non-coding RNA. RefSeq lists it as uncharacterized. The record is from RefSeq and is a predicted model, not a curated record. NCBI's taxonomy places the organism in Eukaryota, Metazoa, Chordata, Actinopteri, Acipenseriformes, Acipenseridae. The transcript is spliced from 2 exons.